UCGAUUUUGCCACUUUUUUGCCACUUUUUUUAAUUUUUGAGUUAACCGAUACUGAUGACACCCCCCUGGCAGCAACCGCAUCCGUGCGUGGCCACCGUCAGGCCCAGGCAGUUCUUAUUUCUUGUAAUAUAGGACAAUAUUUGAUUUCUUCUGCAAAAUGUGAUUUGAAAUAUCAACCGAGCUAAACGUUACUUGUGGCGUGAGCCCGCCAAUCUCGGAUUUAAGGAAUGGACAUCCAUCACAAUUCUCACCGAAGCGGCGUUAGUCAAGUUGGCACCAGUUUCACAUUCGGAUUCAGGUCCAAAUUGCAGAUUCGGCGGACUCCCCAAAUAAACCUAAAACUUUGUAUACUGAUGCAGUUUAAUCUCCUGAGCACAAUGAGCACAAAAUCUCGGACCGGUACGCCCAAUUACCGGAGAUAUAUCAAAAUUACAGAUCCCAAUAAAAAAGGCGGACUUCUUCAGUUAUUCGUAGGCUGUGCGUAUACAUCCUCCAAAACGUAGGGCGGUUACGCACCGGGCUUAUACACCCUCCAAAAUCUUCCAGAUGGUUGUACGUGUCAAGCAUACGCGCAAUGGCAGUCUUGGAGGCAAGGAAGUGCAAAAAUGCAGACUUUCGUGCGAGAAGUCGGUUCUAUGCUUGAUAAACAUCAAACGAUCAUUGUGAUAUUGUAGCGAAGCGAACUACGGCAGUGUUUCAACAUGUUCCGCUGCGCCGUUUGGAAAUAUAACCAACUCACGAGUUGAUUGCGACGCCCCAAGCGACGUGUGUGGGGCUGCGCUUGCAGGCAUGUCCAGCCAACAAAGUCCCAUCUGUCUUCACUGAGCGUGUAUGGAGCAAGAUUAGCGGUGAGGAUAUUAAUUUGCAUUUGUUAUUUUCACGCUGAAUUGCCCGCCAUCAGUUUAGGAUCCCGCCUGAAAAGAGAUGGCAUUGCCGCAGUUCAAUGUGACGCACCCCGACCGGUCGCCUAAAUCGCACUGUCGGCUAGAAAACAUGUGUCUGGCGAUGGAAGUAGAAGAUCCUGCCCGGAAAAAGGCUACUUGCUCCAUUUUGCUGGCCCUGCAGUGUUUGAUCAGCAAGAAACACUGCCACAGCCCCCGCCUGCUGCGGGAGAGGCCGCAGAUGUCCACAAAAAGAUGUGCAGGCAGCUUGGGUCUUAUUUUGUUCCACAGAAAAAUAUAGAUGAGUGUGAUGUGUUCCACCAAAUGAUGCAAUUGGAAAGUGAGUCCACUGAUGCAUUUGUGGCUGGCCUUGGGCACCUUGCCAGUACUUGUGAUUUCACUGAUUCUGCCUGGGAAAUCCGCCAGCAGGUGAUCAUGGGAGUCAGAGAUUCCAAGGUGACGGAAAAGGCCCUGCAACAGAAAAUGACACUCAAAGAAUUGCACUCAUUUGCAAGAGGCUUGGAGCAAGCCAGAGCCCAUGCAUGUGCCAUUGAAGCAUGCCAUUCAAACAGAUUUGCUGUGCCAUAGGCAAAUGUCCAGGCACAAAACAUAGUGCAAAAACAAGAGCCCACCUCAAACCUGAUGCAAAAGAAAAUGCACCAAAGCAACCAGGCUAGUCACAGUGUUUUAAAUGCAGAAGACGUGCAAGAUGCUACAGCCCAAAACAUGGCCAGUGGGAGUGCUUUAAAAAGUAGGAUUGCUUUCAUUGUGGAAAGCAUAACAUGGUCACACUCAAACAGCAUGUUGCAACAAAGGUCAGCAUGGUUUCACCAUAGUAAAACAGAUGGACCAACUGCACCAUAUGCAAGCCCAGCAUGAAAGCCCACCUGAGGAGUACCUCCUGAGGAUCAACAAGUCUAUGCAGGAGACAACAGCAAGUGAAAACCAUCCAAUUAAGAUAACAGUGCAAGUGGAUGGAAAGCCAGUGCAGUGGGAAGUCAAUACUGGUGCAGCAGUGUCAGUGAUGUGGGAACAGCUGUCCUGCAAGCUGUGGCCAAACAGGAAAUUGGAGGAAUCCAGACAGAGACUGGAAACCUAUGCUGGUGAGCCCAUCUCUGUGAUAGGGGAAGUCAAGGUGAUUGUGCAAGAAAGUGCUACCCCUGAUCAUAGUGUGUGGAUCCAGCAAAUCCCUACUGGGUAUAAAUUGUCUCUCCAAGGUGAAACUGAACUGGCAUGCAAUCUUCCAUGUGAAGGCCUCACUGGAGGGAACAGCACAAGAGAUACUGAAAAAGUUCCCAAAUCUGACAAAGCCCGAGUUGGGGAAAGCCAACACUGAAGCCCACCUGGAGAUAAAUUUGAAUGUCAAACCAGUGUUCUGCAAACCGCGAUUGGUGCCCCGGGCUCUGCAAUCAUUGGUGAAAGAGGAGCUAGAUCGUCAAAUCGAAGCCAGAAUCCUGAAGCCCUGCAAGUCAGCACAGUGGGCUGCAUCCCUGGUGACAGUAUUGAAGCCAGAUGGCAAAGCAAGACUGCGGUAGCUACAACCUAACCGUAAACAGAGCCAGUCACUUGGAGCAAUAUCCACUGCCCAAAGUGGAGGAACUUCUCACCCAACUUGCUGGAGGUCCGAACGACGCUGCACAUCUCGCUAACCUGGAGGAAGUACUGAGACGACCAGAUUAGGAGAACCUGAGAAUUGACCCAAGAAAGUGCAGGUGGUUCCUGCCAGGGGUCUCCUACGUCGGGGUGCAGAUCGACAAGGUCUGCGCGCAACAGAGCAGAAGGUAGCAGCUGUGCGAGACGCCUCACGUCCUGAAAACGUCGGACAACUGAGGACGUACCUCGGCAUGCUGAAUGACUACAGUCGCUUCUGCCCGAAGCUGAGUGCGGCUUGCUGCACCGUUGUAUGCACUCCUGAGAAAAGACGUAGAGUGGCGAUGGGGCGCAGAGCAGCGGGACGCCUUCAGGGCAACGAAGGUUCUUCUCUAGGCUCCCUGUCUCGCACACUUCGACGGUAAUGCACCAGUCAUCGUGUCAGCGGAUGCCAGCUCCUAUGGCCUAGGAGCUGUGUUGUGCCAGAUGACACCAGAAGGAGAACGCCUAAUCGUCCUCGCCUCCCGCACUCUGAACCAAGCUGAAACGGACUAAAGUCAGAUCGACUGUGAAGGUCUGCCUCUGGUCUUCGCCGUCAAGCGGUUCCACAGCUUCGUGUGUGGAAGACCCUUCACGCUCAGAACCGACCACAAGCCGCUCCUGGGGCUCCU
Long non-coding RNA from Pollicipes pollicipes, 3142 nucleotides. RefSeq lists it as uncharacterized. The record is from RefSeq and is a predicted model, not a curated record. Lineage: Eukaryota; Metazoa; Arthropoda; Thecostraca; Pollicipedomorpha; Pollicipedidae. The transcript has 2 exons.